GAUGAACGCUAGCUACAUGCCUAACACAUGCAAGUCGAGGGACCGGUGCUCGGGUGAGUAACACGUAUCCAACCUGCUCUUUUCCCUGGGAUAGCCUUUCGAAAGAAAGAUUUACACCCGAUACAAAGGAUGGGGAUUCGUUUCAUUAGGUUGUUGGUGAGGUAAAGGCUCACACAGGCAUCGUUGGAUAGGGGUGCUGAGAGGAAGGUCCCCGACAUUGGAGCUGCGACACGGUCCAAACUCCUACGGGGGGCAGCAGUGAGGAAUAUUAGUCAGUGGGCGGUAGCCUUGACCAGCCAAGUAGCGUGAAGGGUGAAGGCUUAUGGGUCGUAAACUUCUUUUAUAUAAGAAUAUGUAUUAUAUGAAUAAGGAUCGGCUAACUCCGUGCCAGCAGCCGCGGUAAUAC
Molecule: ribosomal RNA, 406 nt
Filed under: uncultured bacterium
Lineage: Bacteria
Description: partial 16S ribosomal RNA
Rfam family: Bacterial small subunit ribosomal RNA
Source: RNAcentral